CCUGAUGGCCAUAGCGAGCGGGAACCACCCGAUCCCUUUUCGAACUCGGAAGUGAAAACGCUCUGCGCCGAUGGUAGUUUCGCCUGUUGCGACGCUAGAGUAGGUCACCGUCAGGG
RNAcentral lists this ribosomal RNA (116 nucleotides) under Gammaproteobacteria bacterium. Lineage: Bacteria; Pseudomonadati; Pseudomonadota; Gammaproteobacteria. The record is from RNAcentral.